GACGAACGCUGGCGGCGUGCUUAACACAUGCAAGUCGAACGGAAAGGCCCUGCUUUUGUGGGGUGCUCGAUUGGCGAACGGGUGAGUAACACGUGAGUAACCUGCCCUUGACUUUGGGAUAACUUCAGGAAACUGGGGCUAAUACCGGAUAGGAUCUCCUGCUGCGUGGUGGGGGUUGGAAAGUUUCGGCGGUUGGGGAUGUACUCGCGGCUUAUCAGCUUGUUGGUGGGGUAGUGGCUUACCAAGGCUUUGACGGGUAGCCGGCCUGAGAGGGUGACCGGCCACAUUGGGACUGAGAUACGGCCCAGAAUCCUACGGGAGGCAGCAGGGGGGAAUAUUGCACAAUGGGCCGAAGCCUGAUGCAGCAACGCCGCGUGCGGGAUGACGGCCUUCGGGUUGUAAACCGCUUUCGCCUGUGACGAAGCGUGAGUGACGGUAAUGGGUAAAGAAGCACCGGCUAACUACGUG
This 468-nucleotide ribosomal RNA is filed under the name uncultured bacterium. Its description in RNAcentral is "partial 16S ribosomal RNA". It matches the Rfam family "Bacterial small subunit ribosomal RNA", at positions 28 to 507 of the family's 1533-position model. The record is from RNAcentral.